UGGCGGCUAUGGCGCGGUGGUCACACCUGUUCCCAUCCCGAACACAGAAGUUAAGCACCGCAGUGGCGAAGGUAGUCGGGCGACCGGCAAGAAUAG
This 96-nucleotide ribosomal RNA is filed under the name bovine gut metagenome. RNAcentral also lists the same sequence under 1 other name. The record is from RNAcentral.